GGCCUUGUAGCUUAAUUGGAUAAAGCAUCUGACUACGGAUCAGAAGAGUAAGGGUUCAACUCCUUUCAAGGUCU
RNAcentral lists this transfer RNA (74 nucleotides) under Candidatus Karelsulcia muelleri. Its description in RNAcentral is "tRNA-Arg". It matches the Rfam family "tRNA". Rfam says of the family: Transfer RNA (tRNA) molecules are approximately 80 nucleotides in length. Their secondary structure includes four short double-helical elements and three loops (D, anti-codon, and T loops). The record is from RNAcentral. Lineage: Bacteria; Pseudomonadati; Bacteroidota; Flavobacteriia; Flavobacteriales.